This 397-nucleotide ribosomal RNA is filed under the name uncultured bacterium. Its description in RNAcentral is "bacterial SSU rRNA". It matches the Rfam family "Bacterial small subunit ribosomal RNA", at positions 358 to 772 of the family's 1533-position model. The record is from RNAcentral.
GGAAUAUUGCACAAUGGGGGAAACCCUGAUGCAGCGACGCCGCGUGAGUGAAGAAGUAUUUCGGUAUGUAAAGCUCUAUCAGCAGGAAAGAAAAUGACGGUACCUGACUAAGAAGCCCCGGCUAACUACGUGCCAGCAGCCGCGGUAAUACGUAGGGGGCAAGCGUUAUCCGGAAUUACUGGGUGUAAAGGGAGCGUAGACGGUUAAGUAAGUCUGGAGUGAAAGGCCGGGGCCCAACCCCGGGACUGCUCUGGAAACUAUUCAACUUGAGUGCAGGAGAGGUAAGCGGAAUUCCUAGUGUAGCGGUGAAAUGCGUAGAUAUUAGGAGGAACACCAGUGGCGAAGGCGGCUUACUGGACUGUAACUGACGCUGAGGCACGAAAGUGCGGGGAUCAAA